Molecule: ribosomal RNA, 759 nt
Filed under: Triticum aestivum (bread wheat)
Lineage: Eukaryota; Viridiplantae; Streptophyta; Magnoliopsida; Poales; Poaceae
Description: partial small subunit ribosomal RNA
Source: RNAcentral
AUGACCACAAGCAGCUCGUGUGCCAUCUGCGGAAAUACGGACUCUUGGAAGCAUAGCUUGAUUGAGUGUACUGCUGCCCGGUGUGUUUGGUCAUUGGUGGAUCAGGAGCUUAUUGAUGAUUUGCGAAGUAACACUGAAAAUGAUGCAAAGAAAUGGUUAUUUACUAUGAUCGAACAACUACCACACGACAAGUUCACCAAGGUAGCAGUUACCCUAUGGGCAAUAUGGUGGGCGAGGCGGAAGUCCCGUAUGAACAUCCCAGUUACUGCUGCACCAAGGAAGUGGAUUCCGGCCACUGGUGAUUAUGCUAAAAUCAAUGUUGACGCUGCUGUCUUCCGUGGAGUUGGUGCCGCUGCUGCAGUUUGCAGGAACAAUAACGGACAAUACCUGGGGUCCUCGGUGCUUGUCACUAGAGGGCUGGUUGAUCCGCCUACUUUGGAAGCUAUGGCAUGCAGAGAAGGAUUAUCGCUAGCGGAAGACCUGGGGCUGCAGAAACUAGUGAUUGCGUCUGACUGUCAAGAGGUGGUGAAGCAUAUCAAAGAAAAGUCAGGUGAAAACUAUGGUGCAGUUGUAAAAGAGAUUAUUUCUUGGCAAUCUUCUUUUAAUUCUUGCUGUUUUAAGUUUGAAUUUAGAGCCUCGGAUUUCGAUCCUCAUAAACUAGCUAGGCAUGCUGUAAAGUUAGAUCAUGGCCGCCACAUUUGGUUGGGGCAACCACAUGAUACUUCUGUAAUACCGGUAGCAAUACCAACUUUUGAAUAA